Molecule: microRNA precursor, 69 nt
Filed under: Ciona intestinalis (vase tunicate)
Lineage: Eukaryota; Metazoa; Chordata; Ascidiacea; Phlebobranchia; Cionidae
Description: miRNA (ENSCING00000022726.1)
Source: RNAcentral
UACCAUCUUUCCCAACAGUACUAUAUGUAGAGAACUUGUUGUAUAGAAGGGUGGGGGGAGAUGGGACAC